UGAAUGUUAUUGGAAAGAAAAACUCAUGGA
RNAcentral lists this non-coding RNA (30 nucleotides) under Mus musculus (house mouse). The record is from RNAcentral. Lineage: Eukaryota; Metazoa; Chordata; Mammalia; Rodentia; Muridae.